UAUUAAAUACCAUACGAAUGUCAAAAAGACAAACACUCAUACUCAAGAAUUUCUUGGAGGACUACUUUUACAUGAGUCAUAUUUACCCGUAUUUUCCACACUAUAAAGCACUUUGGAGUAUAAGGCACACCUUCAGUGAAUGGCCUAUUUUAAAAACUGUUUUCAUAUAUAAGGUGCACCGCAUUAUAAGGCGCAUAGAAUAGAAGCUACAAUAGUGGCAGUGGUUGGGAUACGCAGCCACUAGAUUGGAGCUCCGCUAAAGGGAAUACAAUACAAUGCAGCUUUAUUUGUUUCGCGCUUUCAGAACCAAUGCAGCUAUAACAAAGCACUUUAAAGAACAUUUCAAAUAUUACAUCCAAGAAAUCAGAAUACUGACCAUAUAUAAGGUGCAUCGGAUUAUAAGGCGUGAACAUUUUCAUGAACAUUUUGCGAGCAAAAUGUCACUUAAAGAUGACAAGGGUGAAUAAAGGAAAGGAAGCC
Hippocampus comes (tiger tail seahorse) is the source of this 480-nucleotide long non-coding RNA. RefSeq lists it as uncharacterized. Lineage: Eukaryota; Metazoa; Chordata; Actinopteri; Syngnathiformes; Syngnathidae. The transcript has 3 exons. The record is from RefSeq and is a predicted model, not a curated record.